AUCCCAUGAUGAUGACACUCGAGUAUGUAGUCUUGAAAGUGCUCCCAAGCUUCUGGGACUAUCUCAUCAUAUUGUUGCUAAAAACUUGAUAUCUUUCCACGAAGAGC
This is a small nucleolar RNA of Sorghum bicolor (sorghum), 107 nucleotides long. It matches the Rfam family "Plant small nucleolar RNA R71". From Rfam's summary of the family: R71 is a member of the C/D box family of snoRNAs containing the C (UGAUGA) and D (CUGA) box motifs. The record is from Rfam. NCBI's taxonomy places the organism in Eukaryota, Viridiplantae, Streptophyta, Magnoliopsida, Poales, Poaceae.